Metopolophium dirhodum (rose-grain aphid) is the source of this 4876-nucleotide RNA transcript. It is a transcript of the gene named serine/threonine-protein kinase 32A, with no coding region annotated. The transcript is spliced from 13 exons. Lineage: Eukaryota; Metazoa; Arthropoda; Insecta; Hemiptera; Aphididae. The record is from RefSeq and is a predicted model, not a curated record.
GUUGCGAACCUCUCGCGUUUCGCCAUGCCGUCGCCGACCCUACAAGUCUGAGUGGUUAUUAUUAUAUUUUGUAAAAUUGUAUUCGUACACGAUACCGUUAUACUUUACGCCCGACCAUAAUAUACUAUAUUGUUAUUGACCACGGGGUCGACGUUUUAAUUUGCCACCGUCGCGACGUUGACGAUUUCCGUUCGAAUUUUAUCGUGAAUUUGUUUUUACCUCCAUAUUAUUAUAUUAUAGGCACACGUGUGCGCGUGACAAUAAUAUUACUAUACCGCACUCGUCGUGUAGGUACACGCCGCGUUACUCUGAGAACAGGUUUACCCAAAACACAUAAUAUAUAUUCAAAUACGCUCGUCAAGAUGGGCGUUGGUCAUUCGAACAGACAAGAUCGCUCGUGUCCUUUGGAUGGUGAUGUAAACUUUGAUCACUUUGAAAUUUUGCGAGCAAUCGGUAAAGGCAGUUUUGGGAAAGUGUGUAUAGUGGAGAAAAAAAAUUCUCGUCAAAUGUACGCAAUGAAGUACAUGCAGAAGAGUCGUUGCGUUGAAAGGGAUGCCUUAAAAAAUGUACUACGAGAAAUGGAAAUAUUAACCACGCUCGAACAUCCGUUCCUGGUAAAUCUAUGGUUCUCUUUUCAAGACGAGGAAGACCUAUUCAUGGUUUCAGACUUGUUAUUGGGUGGUGACCUGAGGUACCACUUGGGUCAAGACGUUAAGUUCGGCGAAAAUUCAAUCAAACUGUUUGCGUGCGAAAUUGGCUCUGCGCUGGAAUAUUUGCAAAGCGAGCAUAUAGUUCACAGGGACAUAAAGCCGGAGAAUAUUCUGCUGGACGAAGAAGGUCACGCACAUAUUACCGACUUUAAUAUAGCAGCUACACUACGUGGAAAAAAAUUAGCGUCAUCGCUGUCCGGCACCAAACCUUAUAUAGCACCAGAAGUGUACUUAUGCUCGUUGGGCGAAUGCGCUGGAUACUCGUAUCCCGUCGAUUGGUGGUCACUAGGCGUCACACUUUAUGAAGUCAUGUCGAGGUGCCGACCGUACGACAUCCAUUCUGGUACAACACCGAGGGAAGUUCGGUCUAUGGUGAUGAAUUCGACGUCGUCCACGGCAAUACCACCGAAAUGUUCAGAACAAUUGAGCGUAUUAUUCCAAAGACUGCUGUGCAUUAACCCGGACGAGAGAAUCACCACGGUCAAGAAACUGAAAUCCAUUCCGUGUAUAAGUCGAUACAAUUUCGGAAUGAUAUUAGAAAAACAAAUCAGGCCACCGUUCACGCCGCCGAAAGACAGGCUGAAUUGUGAUCCGACGUUUGAACUGGAAGAGAUGAUAGUCGAACCCAACCCGCUGCAUCGAAAGCCCAGACGGUUGGCAAAGCAAAGGUCACUGAGAACUUCCAUGACAAUAGAAGACACAGAGACUAGCAGACAACUUCAACAUUUUAAAUGCUAUAAUCGCGAGAAGGAACUUGAAAGGCGAGAAAUGGAACGCAAGGAACACGACUGGGAGCAGGAGUUGAUUAAAGCUAUGAACGCUUCUACCAUACCAGCGAUCGUACCGGCCAUGGUGACGGACAGGGAUGGAGGGGGUGAAUUGCUGACGGUGCCCAUGAUGACGACUGAACGCCGGCGGUCCAGUUGCAAGCUGAACAUCUCGCCGGUCAGCAUCCAGACCAGACUGUUUUCCGCGCAGGCCGAUACCGGAAGCUGAUACAAUCACGAGGAGCAGGGCAAUUGAAUUAUGCCACCGGAAAUCUACUGGCCGUCACGAUUUUAUUAUUAUUGUUUUAUAUAUUCCGCCUCCUCCUAAUCGACGCGUGGGCCUAACAAAAACAACAACAACAGCAAGUACAUCGAUGAUGAUGAUGAUGAUGGUGAUGAUAAUAAUUGUUCGAGCCAUGGACAUUUUGUUACAAUAUAACCCGUAAAUACUGUACGCGACAUUAUGAUAUUGUCGUAAUUACAAUAUUAUUUUGUUAUACUUAAGCGUCUGCUUCGUCACGACUGUCUAUCCGUUAUAAAUCAUAAUAUUAGAUGUAUAUAGGUAUAGUAAGUACUGCGACAGAGCUAAACCAAAGUGAUAUUUUUUAGUUUUGCUAUAUCUGCAUUGUUCGUUCUGUAUAAGCCAUAACGGUAUUAAAUUAUAAUACAUAAGAUUUCCCCUCACAGACACAACGCAAGUGUUUUCCGAAAAAUUGUGUCUAUAUAUAGGUACUUUAUAAUAUGAUACAUACUAUCACGUAAUAUUAGAAAUCUAAAACAAUUAAAAUAGGUUAUCUACACUUAAAUAGCUUAUUUGUAGAGUUAUAUUAUUAUAUUAUUAUACAUCCUGAUUGAACAAUGCCGUGCUAACUUUCAUUGGCGCCCCACGGCAAUAAUAUUUUCCGCCCCUAUAUAUGUACUUUGCAGCCCUAGGGAACUUUCCCAAUUUUCCCUCCUCCCCAUUGGCACGGAUCUGUCAGAACACCACGGUGUUUUCCCGUUCUCCUUUGUUGUGUUCACUCUGUAUAAUAAUAAUAUAAUAAUAUAUUGUAUUUUGUACACUUAGUAAUAGACGUGUAGCGCAGUAUAAUAAUAUUUUAGGUAUAAUACUUGUUCAUUAUUAUUAUUAUUAUUAUAUAAUAUUGUUAUGUUACAGUUAAAUACUUUGAACGUGUGGUUUGUAAUGUUUUUACGGAUCACUAUUCAUCAAUGGUUAAAACAACGAAGUGUUAACUCUGAACCAAAAAUUACUAACAAUCUAAUUAUUGAAAUAACUUAGUCCAACCCAAGUACAAGCCAUGCGUUUAAUGUACUGGUCAACAGAUACUGCCAAAUGUCAGUAUAUGUGUUUGCCAUUGUCUAACGCAAUGUAUACUCAUUGAAUAAAGUAUCAAAAUAUCAAGUAAUGGCAUAAUAUGAUAUUAACCUAAUUUAAUAUGAUAAUAUUAUAUUGAGAUAAUCAUGUUCAAUUAACGACGGCCAUUUUGGUCGCUGUUAAUCAACGUGUUCAAAAUAUUUAAAUAAAUUGACGUGUAAAUAUUGUACUCGCGUAUUUGAACGUAUAUUAUGCUCACGUCUACUUUAAUUAAGCAACCUAUAUCAACAGUAACAUAAUAUUUUAACCACGCACGUUGUGGGUUUGAAGUGAAAAGGUUCCAUUUCGGUUUGUUUUUCAACAAAAUCCAGUUGUAUAGAGACGCAUAUUCUGUACUGUAUACAUUUUCGAUCAAAAACUAUGUUAUUAUAGCGGUCAUUGAACAAUAUUAUUAAAUUAAUUAAUUAUAUUUUUAAUGGUUCUAUAGAACAGUCGAUAGAUACAGUUAAUAGUUUAAAGUUGGAAAAGAGAUUUUUUUUGAAAUAAAUAUAAUUUAGAAUACAGUGUUUUGAGUUCUCACACUAAUAAAUACCGUUAUGAUAAUAUAUUACUAUAAUAUUGUUUAAAAAUAAGACAGUUCCAUUAGAUAGAAAUAUUUCAGUCUCAGCGGAAAUUGUUUUUUUUUUUCUUAAUGAUUAUCGACAGCUAUCUAUAACAUAUUUUUCAACCCUAUUUUUACAUUGGGUUGCUACAAUUUAACAUAAUAUAACAUUUAAUGUAUUGUGCAAUAUGUAUAAAAAAUACCGAUUUUGAGACCUUUCGUUCCAAGCUCACUUUAUUAUUAUCCGAGGGUAAAAAUAAAAUUCAAUCAAAUUUUGUGUCGUAAGCACUGCCAAAAAAAAAAAUCAGACGAUAGUACUAUAUAGACGAAGAGAAAUAUUGCAAUGUUGAAAAAACAAUGUGUCUUAUAAUAGUUUAUGGUGAGCUUUGUUGAAUUCGGAUAUUAUAUUAUUAAACGAAAACUUUUGCCACCUCCGCAAUAUGAUUUAAUCUCGGCAAACCAGAGAGUAAAAAAUUAAUAUCAAAGUCUCAGCGUUUUAUAUUUGAAUAAAAACGUUUACAUUUUUUGUAAAAACAGAACGCGUAUAAAUUAUGAAAAAUUAAAUAAUAUUAUCAAUUAUUGAAAAUACUAUACACUCAUCAUUUGACACAUUUCGUUUUAAUAAAUCUGUAUACAUUUUCUAGUUUCAUGCGAUUAAGAUUCCACAAUAAUCAUCCCCACGCAAUAAUACUAUUGGAAUUCAACACUGCGGCAAUGCGAGAAAUAAUAAUUUAUUGUUAAUGCGAAUUUCGUUUUCGUUUUUUAUUCAAAUAUUCCACAGUGCAAUAUGUUGAUAGGCACACACGUGUUCCUCCCCCUACCGACGUAAAAACCUACAAAAACAAAAAUAGCUAAUGACCUUAGUUACCGGGCUUAAGAUCAAUUAAAAAAAAAAAAAUAUGUUGAUAUAAUGAGUUUAUAAACUAAGUACAAUUAUUAUUCGUAUUGUAGCGUAUUUAUUUUGUUUUGUUUUGUUUUUUUUUUUAAUUGUAAACAAAUAACUUUUUGUACAUUUAACAUAAUUUAGUUAUAUUUAUAGGGAAAUGAAAGUAAAUUAUUUCUUAUUUUGUACGACUUUCAGGGUUAUUAUUAAGACGAUCAGAAAACUGUGUCUGUUAUAAUAAUAUUUUAAUCACAAAAUAAAUAAUUGUGACAUUUUGUACAAUCCCUAAAAGUCAAAUUAAGAAGAAAAAAUACAUAUUCUGUAUAGAUCAUUAAAAAUCUGUUAUGUCGAAUGUAUAUUAUAAUGUAUACGAUAUAUUAUAACGUAUAUUAAAUAGAUGUACAUUAUUUUAUCAUUCCUACUAUUUAGGGCGUAUAGAAGUGUAAUUAUUUUAAAAAUACAGGUAAUUAAAAACGAUAUAUUAUCAUGGUACCUAUCUUUAUAAUUUCAAUAAAUGUAUAUCAUAAUUGAUUUGAAUAAAAUAGAAUAUUAAGUAUUUUAUAUUAUAAUAAUAUUAUAUUUACUUCCCAAUUACCAAUA